UUAGGAUGGAUGUGUACUCAGGAUUCACCCUAUCCCAAAGAACCUUCUGGUCACCCUCCCCCAAAACAUGCUAAUGCUCCAAAGGCUUGAAUCCUGAGUCAGAAACUCUCCUCCACCCCCUCAAAAUGAACAAAGUGACUUCUCAUGUAGUGAGAGCACCAGCAUCCCUGUGGGAGAAGAGGAGGAAUGAAGCUAGGCAGCAGGUCCUGCCUGGCAGGAGGUUGUUUUCAUCCACAGCUGGAUAGAAUCACCAAUCAGUGCUAGCUCGUCUCAUUUCUCUCAAGUUGGUAUCCUGGCAGGCACUGGGCAAAUUACUCCCAUACCUAAGGAGAGGAGAUGAAUGGUGUAUUCACAGGAGGAUUCGGAUUUCAUCUACACCCUGCUUCAUGAACCACAGCUGACUGGCUGAAGUUGAAAACUCACUGAAGGGCAUUUUCUGUGUCACUUCAGGCAGCUGCACAUGAAAUUGAUGGAACAUUAACUUUUGCAGGUGAGCUGAGCUUCAUUUCUAAUUUGCUGAAAAGCAGGAAGUAUUUAGGACCGUUUGGCCUUGAAG
Long non-coding RNA from Pezoporus flaviventris, 556 nucleotides. RefSeq lists it as uncharacterized. Lineage: Eukaryota; Metazoa; Chordata; Aves; Psittaciformes; Psittacidae. The record is from RefSeq and is a predicted model, not a curated record. The transcript is spliced from 5 exons.